UACGAGUAGCGCAAGUGUUACUCUCCUUGACUGGGCGUAAAGGGUGCGUAGGUUGUGUAAUAAGUUUUAAGUUAAAUUUUAUAUUGAUGAUAAUAUACUUUUAAUACUAUUACGCUAGAGUUUAUUGGAAGAUAAUGGAACUUCUAUACGCAGAGUUGAAAUACGUUAAAGAUAGAAGGAACUCCGCAGGCGAAAGCAAUUAUCUACGAUAGACUGACACUGAGGCACGAAGGCAUAGGAAUCGAAGCGGAUUAGGGACCCGCGUAGUCUAUGCUGUCAACCAUGAGUGUUAAAUGUUAGAUAUUCUAAUAUUACAGCUAACGCGUUAAACACUCCGCCUGGGUACUACGAUCGCAAGAUUAAAACCUAAAGAAAUUGACGGAGAUCUGCUACAAGCAGUGGAGCAUGUGAUUUAAUUCGAUACACCGCGAGAAAUCUUACCAAUCCUUGUCAUAUUAGAUAUAGAUAGUAGAUAUAUAGUAAUAUAUAAACGAAAAUUCUAUCUCUUUUUUAGUAUCAUAUAUAAUUUAUCUUUUUUAAUGAUAAAUGAACAAUUAUAUCUAAUACAGGUGUUGCAUGGCUGUCGUAAGUUCGUGUUGUGAGGCGUUAAGUUAAUUCUCAUCAACGAACGAGACCCUCAUUUAUAUUUAAGUAUUAUUAUACAAAAAAACUAUAGAUUUAGGGGAUGACGUCAAGUCAUUAUGGCCUUUAUGGAUUGGGCUAUCCAUGUGCUACAAAGGUAAUAACAAAAAGAAGCAAUAAUGUGAGUUGGAGCAAAUCUUUAAAAAUUAUCAAAUGUUCGGAUUGUUCUCUGAAAUUCGAGAACAUGAAGCAGGAAUUGCUAGUAAUCGUAAAUAAUAACGUUACGGUGAAUGUGUGUCCAGAUCU
RNAcentral lists this ribosomal RNA (888 nucleotides) under uncultured bacterium. RNAcentral describes it as "bacterial SSU rRNA". It matches the Rfam family "Bacterial small subunit ribosomal RNA", at positions 524 to 1381 of the family's 1533-position model. The record is from RNAcentral.